Molecule: long non-coding RNA, 300 nt
Organism: Octopus sinensis (East Asian common octopus)
Lineage: Eukaryota; Metazoa; Mollusca; Cephalopoda; Octopoda; Octopodidae
Exons: 2
Source: RefSeq, a predicted model, not a curated record
CCUUUUAACUCCGAUAAUAAACUUUUAUUCUAUAAACGUAUUGAGUCAUUUCUGCUUUGGAGGUAGUACUACCUUGUGCAUAUAAAUUACUCUCCUACAAACUACAUACAUGUAUAUAUAUAUAUAUAUAUAUAUAUAUGAUGUUCAGUUAAUUGAAGGAAACAAAAUGGAGAGUUGAAUUGGAGAGGGAAACAUCCGUUUCCAUUAGUGCCCAAUGGAUAAAUUAAAGAUUUAAGCAUUAGAUUUGCAUUUAUAUGCUAUGAGCAUAAUUUCUUCAGAGAAACGGCUGUAAGAAGUAAA